CUAGUACUCCCUCUGUUUCGAAUUACUUGUCUUGGAUUUGUCUAGAUACGGGUGUAUCUAGACUCAUUUUAGUGUUAGAUACAUCCGUAUCUAGAUAAAUCUAAGACAAGUAAUUCAGAACGGAGGGAUACUAG
Molecule: non-coding RNA, 134 nt
Organism: Triticum aestivum (bread wheat)
Lineage: Eukaryota; Viridiplantae; Streptophyta; Magnoliopsida; Poales; Poaceae
Source: Rfam